CGGUGAAUACGUUCCCGGGUCUUGUACACACCGCCCGUCACUACCAUGGAAGGUUGGUUCUGCCUUAAGUCGCCCUUAAAGCGCCCACGGCAGGGUCAAUGACUGGGGUG
This 110-nucleotide ribosomal RNA is filed under the name uncultured bacterium. RNAcentral's name for it is "partial 16S ribosomal RNA". It matches the Rfam family "Bacterial small subunit ribosomal RNA", at positions 1360 to 1482 of the family's 1533-position model. The record is from RNAcentral.